AUUCCAGCUCCAAUAGCGUAUAUUAAUGUUGUUGUGGUUAAAAAGCUCGUAGUUGGAUAUCGAUCGCUCGCGAAUGGUUUCAUGCGAAUGAAACUAUUCAAACAGCUGUUAAUUGGGAGAGGCUUAUCUUUGGCUUAAAUGCUAUGGAUAUAUAGCUUAUCUCCAGUAUUACUUUGAAUAAAUCAGAGUUCUUCAGACAGGCGCGAUGCUUGUAUAUUGGUGCAUGGAAUAACAGAAUAAGAUUUUCAUUUCGUUCUGUUGGUUAAUGAGGCGGAAAUAAUGAUUAAUCGGGACAGCCGGGUGCAUAGGUAUUCAUAAGCGAGAGGUGAAAUUCGGUGACCUUAUGAAGACCACCUAUUGCGAAGGCAUUUGCAAAGAAUGUUUUCAUUG
RNAcentral lists this ribosomal RNA (390 nucleotides) under Crustacea sp. RNAcentral's name for it is "partial small subunit ribosomal RNA". It matches the Rfam family "Eukaryotic small subunit ribosomal RNA", at positions 582 to 975 of the family's 1831-position model. The record is from RNAcentral. Lineage: Eukaryota; Metazoa; Arthropoda.